This 132-nucleotide small nucleolar RNA is filed under the name Setaria italica (foxtail millet). RNAcentral's name for it is "Small nucleolar RNA Z247". It matches the Rfam family "Small nucleolar RNA Z247". From Rfam's summary of the family: Z247 is a member of the C/D class of snoRNA which contain the C (UGAUGA) and D (CUGA) box motifs. Most of the members of the box C/D family function in directing site-specific 2'-O-methylation of substrate RNAs. The record is from Rfam by way of RNAcentral. Lineage: Eukaryota; Viridiplantae; Streptophyta; Magnoliopsida; Poales; Poaceae.
AUUAUAGAUGAUGAUGAGAUGAUCCAGUUUAUUUUAAAUGCUCUUGACUUUGAUUAUAGCCCCUUUGUAUCAUCGAUGCUUUGUUCGUGUUAGAUCGAUCUCCUUGGGUGAAAUAUACUCUCAGCUUUUGUC